AGUAACACGUGGAUAACCUACCCUUAGGACCGGGAUAACUCUGGGAAACUGGGGAUAAUACUGGAUAGGCAAUUUUGCCUGUAAUGGUUUUUUGUUUAAAUGUUUUUUCGCCUAAGGAUGGGUCUGCGGCAGAUUAGGUAGUUGGUUGGGUAAUGGCUUACCAAGCCUAUAAUCUGUACGGGUUGUGAGAGCAAGAGCCCGGAGAUGGAACCUGAGACAAGGUUCCAGGCCCUACAGGGCGCAGCAGGCGCGAAACCUCCACAAUGUGAGAAAUCGCGAUGGGGGGAUCCCAAGUGCCAUUCUUAACGGAAUGGCUUUUCUUAAGUGUAAAGAGCUUUUGGAAUAAGAGCUGGGCAAGACCGGUGCCAGCCGCCGCGGUAACACCGGCAGCUCUAGUGGUAGCUGUUUUUAUUGGGCCUAAAGCGUUCGUAGCCGGUUUAAUAAGUCUCUGGUGAAAUCUUACAGCUUAACUGUGGGAAUUGCUGGAGAUACUAUUAGGCUUGAGAUCGGGAGAGGUUAGAGGUACUCCUGGGGUAGGGGUGAAAUCCUGUAAUCCUAGGAGGACCACCUGUGGCGAAGGCGUCUAACUAGAACGAAUCUGACGGUGAGGAACGAAAGCUAGGGGCGCGAACCGGAUUAGAUACCCGGGUAGUCCUAGCCGUAAACUAUGCGGACUUGGUGUGAGGGUGGCUUUGAGCCGUCCUGGUGCCGAAGGGAAGCUGUUAAGUCCGCCGCCUGGGAAGUACGGUCGCAAGACUGAAACUUAAAGGAAUUGGCGGGGGAGCAAAUCCCGCGGCCA
Molecule: ribosomal RNA, 799 nt
Filed under: uncultured archaeon
Lineage: Archaea
Description: bacterial SSU rRNA
Rfam family: Archaeal small subunit ribosomal RNA
Source: RNAcentral